GUACAUAAUAAAAGCAUUGACAUUUUUAAUGUUUUGUAUGGAAUAUCUCUAGGAUGAACUGGGAAGUCCACUGACUGCCUUCACUGCUGCCUUUGGCUUGGUUUUGUAAUUUUACAUCUUUGUCCUUACACCGGAGCCUGAUCCAGGAAACCAGGGAGUACUUCAGGUUCUUCCAUUGAAAUGCUUGAGGCUGAAAGUUAGCUGAAUGCAAAAAGAAUCAAGAAACAGAGAAACAUUCCAUGGUCCUUAAAACCCAAAGGAGUGAUUCCUUCUGUGCUGCCACACCAGUGGAGAUUGCAGCAGGGUCUCCUUCCACACCAGUGGCUACACUGGAGCAGAUUCUCUGGCUCUGGUUCCUGUCCCUGGGAGUUGUCCUGGCUAGAUGGCUGUGAGGAGGUGGGAAGAAAUGCACAGCAGUCCUGUGUUCACUCACUUGGCUGCCAAACAUGCACAUUUCACUGCUUUCUUGAGAGCACUUUCCUGCUGUGGAAAUGUGAUAUGCCUGACUAGGUAGGCCAACAGCUGUGUGAUUGUCCAUCUGCUGCUUCUCCAGAUUAAAUAUUAGCC
Molecule: long non-coding RNA, 567 nt
Filed under: Cyanistes caeruleus (blue tit)
Lineage: Eukaryota; Metazoa; Chordata; Aves; Passeriformes; Paridae
Description: lncRNA (ENSCCEG00000012156.1)
Source: RNAcentral